This 216-nucleotide ribosomal RNA is filed under the name Halomonhystera sp. 9 JAL-2013. Its description in RNAcentral is "partial 18S ribosomal RNA". It matches the Rfam family "Eukaryotic small subunit ribosomal RNA", at positions 209 to 424 of the family's 1831-position model. Lineage: Eukaryota; Metazoa; Nematoda; Chromadorea; Monhysterida; Monhysteridae. The record is from RNAcentral.
AUUAGAUCAAGACUAACCGGCUUCGGCCGUUAACUUGGUGACUCUGAAUAACUCAGCUGAUCGCACGGUCUAGUGCCGGCGACAUAUCUUUCAAGUGUCUACCUUAUCAACUGUCGAUGGUAGUUUAUGUGACUACCAUGGUUGUAACGGGUAACGGAGAAUCAGGGUUUGACUCCGGAGAGGGAGCCUGAGAAACGGCUACCACUUCCAAGGAAG